AUGCAGAAUUGGAAGAAGCUCAAGAGGCACAAGGAGAUGCAGAAUUGGAAGAAGCUCAAGAGGCACAAGGAGAUGCAGAAUUGGAAGAAGCUCAAGAGGCACAAGAAGAAACAGAAUUGGAAGAAGCUCAAGAGGCACAAGAAGAUGCAGAAUUGGAAGAAGCUCAAGAGGCACAAGGAGAUGCAUAAUUGCAAGAAGCUGAUGCACAUGGAAAUCCAAGAGGGAAGGACUUGA
This 234-nucleotide ribosomal RNA is filed under the name Triticum aestivum (bread wheat). RNAcentral describes it as "partial small subunit ribosomal RNA". The record is from RNAcentral. Lineage: Eukaryota; Viridiplantae; Streptophyta; Magnoliopsida; Poales; Poaceae.